CCUGCUAUAAUGCAAGUCGAACGCUUUGUGGUUCAACUGAUUUGAAGAGCUUGCUCAGAUAUGACGAUGGACAUUGCAAAGAGUGGCGAACGGGUGAGUAACACGUGGGAAACCUACCUCUUAGCAGGGGAUAACAUUUGGAAACAGAUGCUAAUACCGUAUAACAAUGACAACCGCAUGGUUGUUAUUUAAAAGAUGGUUCUGCUAUCACUAAGAGAUGGUCCCGCGGUGCAUUAGCUAGUUGGUAAGGUAAUGGCUUACCAAGGCGAUGAUGCAUAGCCGAGUUGAGAGACUGAUCGGCCACAAUGGGACUGAGACACGGCCCAUACUCCUACGGGAGGCAGCAGUAGGGAAUCUUCCACAAUGGGCGAAAGCCUGAUGGAGCAACGCCGCGUGUGUGAUGAAGGGUUUCGGCUCGUAAAACACUGUUGUAAGAGAAGAAUGACAUUGAGAGUAACUGUUCAAUGUGUGACGGUAUCUUACCAGAAAGGAACGGCUAAAUACGUGCCAGCAGCCGCGGUAAUACGUAUGUUCCAAGCGUUAUCCGGAUUUAUUGGGCGUAAAGCGAGCGCAGACGGUUAUUUAAGUCUGAAGUGAAAGCCCUCAGCUCAACUGAGGAAUUGCUUUGGAAACUGGAUGACUUGAGUGCAGUAGAGGAAAGUGGAACUCCAUGUGUAGCGGUGAAAUGCGUAGAUAUAUGGAAGAACACCAGUGGCGAAGGCGGCUUUCUGGACUGUAACUGACGUUGAGGCUCGAAAGUGUGGGUAGCAAACAGGAUUAGAUACCCUGGUAGUCCACACCGUAAACGAUGAGUGCUAGGUGUUUGAGGGUUUCCGCCCUUAAGUGCCGCACCUAACGCAUUAAGCACUCCGCCUGGGGAGUACGACCGCCAGCGUUGAAACUCAAAGGAAUUGAGGGGACCCGCACACCCGUGGAACAUGUGGUUUAAUUCGAAGCACCACAAAAACCUUACCAUGUCUUGACUUCCAUUACCCCUCCAAAAAAGAAUGUUCCCUUCCGGUCAAGGAAAAGGGGAAGGAGGG
Molecule: ribosomal RNA, 1043 nt
Filed under: Weissella confusa
Lineage: Bacteria; Bacillati; Bacillota; Bacilli; Lactobacillales; Lactobacillaceae
Description: bacterial SSU rRNA
Rfam family: Bacterial small subunit ribosomal RNA
Source: RNAcentral